GUUGAAACUAGAUGAUCAUUGUGGUCCUUUUCAACCCAGGCCAUUCUAUGAUUUAUUCUAUGUGUUGAGUGAGCCAGCUCUGCACACCUGCCAUCUGCAGUGGAGAGAGACAUGCCGUGCCCCUUGUAAAGGUAGAUCUGAUGCCAUUACGCGUGGCGUUACAUGUUGCAAUGCACACUAAACAAAUUUCCAGACAUUUGUCCACUGAGCCUUUUUUACAAGAGCUCUA
This 229-nucleotide long non-coding RNA is filed under the name Gallus gallus (chicken). Lineage: Eukaryota; Metazoa; Chordata; Aves; Galliformes; Phasianidae. The record is from RNAcentral.